AAAAAUGGUAAUAAGCGCAGAUACAAAACCGAUAUAAAACCCGUUUGAUUGCCUGUUUAACUGUCAAUUUUUAAAACGCAAUCGCUCUUAGUGUAUGAGAAACUAUAAGAUCUCGAAGACAACCGGUAUAAGAUAUACAUGCAAAACCAGUGCACGCAAUAUAACUACAUUCAUUGGCAACUGUACCAGCUUGAUAAUCGGUUAGAAUUUAGUCCAAAAUAAUCUUCAGCAGCAAAUCAUGUCUUGGGGAAAUUCAUGGGGAAACAGCAGUUGGGGAAACAGCUUGGGUGUUUCCGGAAGUAGUUUCUGCACACGCUCCGAGGUAAAUGGUCAACACAGCUCCCACUGCAGUGGUUACACAAGUCCAUGGGGAAAUAGCAGUUAUGACGAAAACUGUUCUGGAUGUCGACGAGACAGAUCUCAGGGAAUAUGGGGAGGUGGGAGCAACUCCAACAGUGCUCUGAAACUAGUUUCAUUAUUCACUGGAGCAAAACUUGCUAAGAAAAGUCUCUGGGACUGAACUUUGCCGAGAAUACUUACACAAAUAAUGUCCUGAAAAUAGUAUCAUUAUUUAUCAGACAAAAUCUUGCCAAGAGAGGUCGGUGUGACUGAAGUUUGCUAGAUAAAGACAUCAGCAAGCAUUACUCAACACGACAAAACAAAAUUUCACAAGACUGUGUUCACAAAGUAAGAUAUAUUUAUAUCCUCAAUGUAUUAUUUUUAACAUUUUUACAUAGUACUGUUAUUGCCUUCUGUUCUAUUUAUGUGUUUUGCUAUAUUUACAUGCUCUUUACUUUUUGUGCAAUAUUGAACCUAAGUCAAAGAUUAUCGUGUGCCAAAGUUUUGUUGGGAAUUAAAUGUAUUAACAUUUAUA
Long non-coding RNA from Mercenaria mercenaria, 874 nucleotides. RefSeq lists it as uncharacterized. The transcript has 2 exons. The record is from RefSeq and is a predicted model, not a curated record. NCBI's taxonomy places the organism in Eukaryota, Metazoa, Mollusca, Bivalvia, Venerida, Veneridae.